GUAGGUGAACCUGCGGAAGGAUCAUUAUCGAGAUGGGGGCUUUCGGCCCCGAACCUCCCACCCAUGCUUACCGACCUUUUGUUGCUUUGGCGGGCUUGCGGCCAGGUUGAAUCCCGGCCGCCGCUGCGUGCCCGCCGAAAGCUCACCCAAACUCGUUUACCGGUGACGUCUGAGGAAUCAAACAAAUAAUCAAAACUUUCAACAACGGAUCUCUUGGUUCUG
RNAcentral lists this unclassified non-coding RNA (222 nucleotides) under rhizosphere metagenome. RNAcentral describes it as "partial ribosomal RNA internal transcribed spacer region". The record is from RNAcentral.